GAGUUAGGGUUCCUUUACGGGCCCGACCUCCAACCCGGUGUCUAAACUUACCACUGUUGCUUCGGCGGGCCCGCCUGUAAAAGGGCCGCCGGGGGUGCCCGUCACCUCUGGCCCGCGCCCGUCGAUAGCCCACAACAAACUCUUUUAAACCGUGUCCUGUCUGAAUAAACCAAAAAAUUAAGCACAAAACUUUCAACAACGGAUCUCUUGGUUCU
This 215-nucleotide unclassified non-coding RNA is filed under the name rhizosphere metagenome. Its description in RNAcentral is "partial ribosomal RNA internal transcribed spacer region". The record is from RNAcentral.